This 1082-nucleotide ribosomal RNA is filed under the name Clostridioides difficile. RNAcentral describes it as "bacterial LSU rRNA". It matches the Rfam family "Bacterial large subunit ribosomal RNA", at positions 1247 to 2338 of the family's 2925-position model. The record is from RNAcentral. Lineage: Bacteria; Bacillati; Bacillota; Clostridia; Peptostreptococcales; Peptostreptococcaceae.
GGGUUGAAGCAUGACCGUAAGGACAUGUGGACAGUAUGGGAGUGAGAAUGUUGGCAUGAGUAGCGAGAUGUGGGUGAGAAUCCCACAGGCCGUAAACCCAAGGUUUCCAGGGGAAGGUUCGUCCGCCCUGGGUUAGUCGGGACCUAAGCUGAGGCCGAAAGGCGUAGGUGAUGGACAACAGGUUGAUAUUCCUGUACUACCGAUAACCGUUUGAGAGAAGGGAUGACACAGUAGGAUAAGCUAAGCACACUGUUGGUUAUGUGUGCCCAAGCAUUGAGGCAGUCAAAGUAGGCAAAUCCGCUUUGAUAAUGCUGGGAUGUGAUGGGGAGCGAAAUUUAGUAGCGAAGUAGCUGAUUUCACACUGUCAAGAAAAGUCUCUAUCGAGGUUAAAGGUACCCGUACCGCAAACCGACACAGGUGGGUGAGGAGAGUAUCCUAAGGCCAGCGAGAGAACUGUUGUUAAGGAACUCGGCAAAAUGACCCCGUAACUUAGGGAUAAGGGGUGCCACCAUCAGGUGGCCGCAGAGAAUAGGCCCAAGCGACUGUUUACCAAAAACAUAGGUUUCUGCUAAGUCGCAAGACGAUGUAUAGGAGCUGACGCCUGCCCGGUGCUGGAAGGUUAAGGGGAUCUGUUAGAGCAAUCGAAGCAGUGAACUUAAGCCCCAGUAAACGGCGGCCGUAACUAUAACGGUCCUAAGGUAGCGAAAUUCCUUGUCGGGUAAGUUCCGACCCGCACGAAAGGCGUAACGAUUUGGGCACUGUCUCAACAACAGACUCGGUGAAAUUGUAAUUCCGGUGAAGAUGCCGGAUACCUGCGACAGGACGGAAAGACCCCAUGGAGCUUUACUGUAGCUUGACAUUGGGUCUUGGUACUACAUGUACAGGAUAGGUGGGAGGCUUUGAAACCAGGACGCCAGUUUUGGCGGAGCCAUCCUUGGGAUACCACCCUUGUAGUACUGGGACUCUAACCAUAGGCCAUGAAUCUGGUCUUGGGACACUGUCAGGUGGGCAGUUUGACUGGGGCGGGCGCCUCCCAAAAGGUAACGGAGGCGCUCAAAGGUUCUCUCAGUACGGUCGGAAAU